ACAUUAUGAUCUUUUGAGAAGUAAAAAAUAAAACACCCAGGUAGAUGGAUAGGAGACGGGAAGAAGGAAGAACCUUGAUGGGAUCAUUUGUACUUCAAACCUCAGUGUCACACAAUAUACUCAUGUAAAAAAACCUGCACAUGUGCCCCCUGAAUCUAAAGUAAAAGUUGAAAUUAUAAAAAUAUAUAUAUAUAAAAGAAAAUGUGGCACAUAUACACCAUGGAAUACUAUGCAGCCAUAUAAAAGGAUGAGUUCAUGUCAUUUGUAGGGACAUGGAUGAAGCUGGAAACCAUCAUUCUGAGCAAACUGUCACAAGGAUGGAAAACCAAACACCGCAUGUUCUCACUC
RNAcentral lists this long non-coding RNA (348 nucleotides) under Pan troglodytes (chimpanzee). Its description in RNAcentral is "long non-coding RNA NONPTRT000355". Lineage: Eukaryota; Metazoa; Chordata; Mammalia; Primates; Hominidae. The record is from RNAcentral.